UGGGGAAUAUUGCACAAUGGGCGAAAGCCUGAUGCAGCAACGCCGCGUGAGUGAUGAAGGCCUUCGGGUUGUAAAGCCCUGUCUUUUGGGGCGAUAAUGACGGUACCAAAGGAGGAAGCCACGGCUAACUACGUGCCAGCAGCCGCGGUAAUACGUAGGUGGCAAGCGUUGUCCGGAUUUACUGGGCGUAAAGGAUGCGUAGGCGGAUUUUUAAGUGAGAUGUGAAAUACCCGGGCUUAACUUGGGUGCUGCAUUUCAAACUGGGAAUCUAGAGUGCGGGAGAGGAGAAUGGAAUUCCUAGUGUAGCGGUGAAAUGCGUAGAGAUUAGGAAGAACACCAGUGGCGAAGGCGAUUCUCUGGACCGUAACUGACGCUGAGGCAUGAAAGCGUGGGUAGCAAACAGGAUUAGAUACCCUGGUAGUCCACGCCGUAAACGAUGAGUACUAGGUGUAGGAGGUAUCGACCCCUUCUGUGCCGCAGUUAACACAAUAAGUACUCCGCCUGGGAAGUACGAUCGCAAGAUUAAAA
This 528-nucleotide ribosomal RNA is filed under the name uncultured bacterium. RNAcentral describes it as "partial 16S ribosomal RNA". It matches the Rfam family "Bacterial small subunit ribosomal RNA", at positions 355 to 899 of the family's 1533-position model. The record is from RNAcentral.